GAUGAAGAACGUAGCGAAAUGCGAUAAGUAGUGUGAAUUGCAGAAUUCAGUGAAUCAUCGAAUCUUUGAACGCACAUUGCGCCUUCUAGUAUUCUGGGAGGCAUGCCUGUUUGAGCGUCAUUAAACCUCUCUCAAGUAUGAUUACUUGGAUGUGAAGGAAGAGUACCUUAAACUUAAGGAGUGUUCUCCUUUGAAAUUGAUUAGCAGAUGGUAAUGUUAUUAAAUCCCUGAUGUUGUAAGAAAUAACAGUGGUUUUGUAGACUAUUAUCUAGCUUUAAAUUAUAAUUUUUAUUAUGGUUGACCUCAAAUCAGGUAAGGAUACCCGCUGAACUUAAGCAUAUCAAUAAGCGGAGGC
RNAcentral lists this unclassified non-coding RNA (355 nucleotides) under soil metagenome. Its description in RNAcentral is "partial contains 5.8S ribosomal RNA, internal transcribed spacer 2, and large subunit ribosomal RNA". The stretch from base 1 to 120 matches the Rfam family "5.8S ribosomal RNA", at positions 35 to 154 of the family's 154-position model. The record is from RNAcentral.